ACAGGAGGUACUCGCACACACACACAGCCCGUCGCCCGUGGCUCGUGGCGACGGGCUGUGUGUGCGUGCUAUUUGCCCAUGU
This 82-nucleotide microRNA precursor is filed under the name Heliconius melpomene (postman butterfly). RNAcentral describes it as "microRNA hme-mir-6308 precursor". Lineage: Eukaryota; Metazoa; Arthropoda; Insecta; Lepidoptera; Nymphalidae. The record is from miRBase by way of RNAcentral.